RNAcentral lists this ribosomal RNA (281 nucleotides) under uncultured Pediococcus sp. Its description in RNAcentral is "partial 16S ribosomal RNA". It matches the Rfam family "Bacterial small subunit ribosomal RNA", at positions 62 to 339 of the family's 1533-position model. The record is from RNAcentral. Lineage: Bacteria; Bacillati; Bacillota; Bacilli; Lactobacillales; Lactobacillaceae.
UUGUACUGAUUGAGAUUUUAACACGAAGUGAGUGGCGAACGGGUGAGUAACACGUGGGAAACCUGCCCGGAAGCGGGGGGAUAACACCUAGAAACAGAUGCUAAUACCGCAUAACAGAGAAAACCGCAUGGUUUUCUUUUAAAAGAUGGCUCUGCUAUCACUUCUGGAUGGACCCGCGGCGUAUUAGCUAGUUGGUGAGGUAAGGCUCACCAAGGCAGUGAUACGUAGCCGACCUGAGAGGGUAAUCGGCCACAUUGGGACUGAGACACGGUCCAGACUCC